Molecule: long non-coding RNA, 290 nt
Organism: Branchiostoma belcheri (Belcher's lancelet)
Lineage: Eukaryota; Metazoa; Chordata; Leptocardii; Amphioxiformes; Branchiostomatidae
Exons: 3
Source: RefSeq, a predicted model, not a curated record
AUCUGAAGUGUGAAGAAGAUUUGAACACCCAAGAAAAGAUGUGUCACCAUUUUGAACACCUGGUCGGAGUUUAACUUCACCUACAACGUGACUUGCAUUUAAAACGAAAAUGGGAGGGGCGGAAUCUUUGGCAACUAUUAUCGUCUUCAUGGGAGCGUAUACAGUAGAAUCUCUAUCGUCAUCAACAUCUGGGACUUUCCGAAGCCAGUACACGACGAUUCCAAUGCUACCCACCGUCCAAACCAGACCCGUGUUUUUGAAUGAGCCCUAUUUUGGAGUUGUUAUCGAGA